This 692-nucleotide long non-coding RNA is filed under the name Macaca mulatta (Rhesus monkey). RNAcentral describes it as "lncRNA (ENSMMUG00000059368.1)". Lineage: Eukaryota; Metazoa; Chordata; Mammalia; Primates; Cercopithecidae. The record is from RNAcentral.
GAUAUGAGUAUUUGGAUGAAGUGACUCGAUUGAUUAUAUGAAGUUGGGUGUCAGAAACACCAUUUCAAAUGAGAAAUGAAAAGCGACCUUGGAAGUUUUUAGCUGAUGGAACACAGAGAGGAAGAAUGUUGAGGAACAUAUCAGAGUCCGUUGGGGAGUCUUGCCUAACUCACCUUUCCAGAAAGGACGAAGAAGGUCAUUAUUUUGACAGAAGAGAUAGAGGCAGUUACGCUUUUUGUGUCGAGGAGACAAGCAAUGCCACAUCUCCUGGAGUGUCAGUGAGCUCUUCAGCCUGCAGGACUCCAUCUGGAGGGCUGGAGGUCUCAAUGCAGCGAGGACAGCCAUGGCAUUAUCAUCCCAUACACUCUGCAUCCCUCCAGUUGAGAACCAAAAGGAUGGCUAAUUACAGAAUGGCAAGGGUCAUUGGGAAUCAAGAGAAUACUUCCUACCUCAGCCCUCACUUGAGAGUGAAUCUGCAUGAAACCGGCUCUUGCCCACAGCUGCAAGUGCUUCUGAAUCGGAACUCUUCACUUCCUUGCCUCUCCUCAGCAGAGGCAGACGCAGCCCCUGCCACCCACGAGGAGGAUGCCGUCAGCAGGGGGCCCUUUGCUUGGAGUGACCCACACAGCCUGAGAGCCGGAGGACGCAGAGGCAGCCCACCCAUGUCCUCGCCACUCAUAGACACUUGUUAA